GGUGCGACCGGAUGAUGGUUCACAACGACCGUGUCCUUUAAACGGGUCGGUGGGACUUUCGUCCGUUUGUAAC
Drosophila sechellia is the source of this 73-nucleotide microRNA precursor. It matches the Rfam family "mir-278 microRNA precursor family". The record is from Rfam. NCBI's taxonomy places the organism in Eukaryota, Metazoa, Arthropoda, Insecta, Diptera, Drosophilidae.